AACGAACGCUGGCGGCGUGGAUAAGACAUGCAAGUCGAACGGGAUUACUUUUGUAGCAAUACAAAAGUAGUUCAGUGGCGCAAGGGUGCGUAACACGUGGGCAAUCUGCCGAGAUGUGGGGGAUAGCUCGCCGAAAGGCGAAUUAAUACCGCAUGUGAUUAGGGAAGACAUCUUUCCGACAUCAAAGCCGGGGCAACCUGGCGCAUCUUGAUGAGCCCGCGGCCUAUCAGCUAGUUGGCGAGGUAAUGGCUCACCAAGGCUAUGACGGGUAGCUGGUCUGAGAGGACGACCAGUCACACUGGAACUGAGACACGGUCCAGACACC
RNAcentral lists this ribosomal RNA (325 nucleotides) under uncultured bacterium. RNAcentral describes it as "bacterial SSU rRNA". It matches the Rfam family "Bacterial small subunit ribosomal RNA", at positions 29 to 339 of the family's 1533-position model. The record is from RNAcentral.